This 387-nucleotide ribosomal RNA is filed under the name uncultured bacterium. RNAcentral's name for it is "bacterial SSU rRNA". It matches the Rfam family "Bacterial small subunit ribosomal RNA", at positions 556 to 940 of the family's 1533-position model. The record is from RNAcentral.
GGGCGUAAAGAGCUCGUAGGCGGUUUGUCGCGUCUGCCGUGAAAGUCCGAGGCUCAACCUCGGAUCUGCGGUGGGUACGGGCAGACUAGAGUGAUGUAGGGGAGACUGGAAUUCCUGGUGUAGCGGUGAAAUGCGCAGAUAUCAGGAGGAACACCGAUGGCGAAGGCAGGUCUCUGGGCAUCUACUGACGCUGAGGAGCGAAAGCAUGGGGAGCGAACAGGAUUAGAUACCCUGGUAGUCCAUGCCGUAAACGUUGGGCACUAGGUGUGGGGAACAUUCCACGUUUUCCGCGCCGUAGCUAACGCAUUAAGUGCCCCGCCUGGGGAGUACGGCCGCAAGGCUAAAACUCAAAGGAAUUGACGGGGGCCCGCACAAGCGGUAAUCGAA